Molecule: transfer RNA, 23 nt
Filed under: Stygnobrotula latebricola (black widow)
Lineage: Eukaryota; Metazoa; Chordata; Actinopteri; Ophidiiformes; Bythitidae
Description: partial transfer RNA-Lys
Source: RNAcentral
UGGCCCCACCCACCCUUAGCGAC